CCUACGGGAGGCAGCAGUGGGGAAUAUUGGGCAAUGGGCGCAAGCCUGACCCAGCAACGCCGCGUGAAGGAAGAAGGCCCUCGGGUUGUAAACUUCUUUUGUCAGGGACGAAGCAAGUGACGGUACCUGACGAAUAAGCCACCGCUAACUACGUGCCAGCCGCCGCGGUAAUACGUAGGUGGCAAGCGUUAUCCGGAUUUACUGGGUGUAAAGGGCGUGUAGGAGGGGAAGCAAGUCAGAUGUGAAAUUCCAGGGCUCAACCCUGGAACUGCAUUUGAAACUGGUUUUCUUGAGUGAUGGAGAGGAAGGCGGAAUUCCGGGUGUAGCGGUGAAAUGCGUAGAUAUACGGAGGAACACCAGUGGCGAAGGCGGCCUGCUGGACAUUAACUGACGCUGAGGCGCGAAAGCGUGGGGAGCAAACAGGAUUAGAUACCCUGGUAGUC
RNAcentral lists this ribosomal RNA (443 nucleotides) under uncultured bacterium. RNAcentral's name for it is "partial 16S ribosomal RNA". It matches the Rfam family "Bacterial small subunit ribosomal RNA", at positions 338 to 795 of the family's 1533-position model. The record is from RNAcentral.